AUUAAGCCAUGCAUGUCUCAGUGCAAGCCACAUUAAGGUGAAACCGCGAAUGGCUCAUUAAAUCAGUUAUGGUUCCUUAGAUCGUACCAAAGUUACUUGGAUAACUGUGGUAAUUCUAGAGCUAAUACAUGCAAACAGAAUCCCCACCAGAAAUGGAAGGGAUGCUUUUAUUAGAUCAAAACCAAUCGGCUCCGGCCUGUCCGGUCCGUUUGUCUUGGUGACUCUGAAUAACUUUGGGCUGAUCGCACGGUCUUCGCACCGGCGACGCAUCUUUCAAAUGUCUGCCUUAUCAACUGUCGAUGGUAGGUUCUGCGCCUACCAUGGUCGUAACGGGUAACGGGGAAUCAGGGUUCGAUUCCGGAGAGGGAGCCUGAGAAAUUGCUACCACAUCCAAGGAAGGCAGCAGGCGCGCAAAUUACCCACUCCCGGCACGGGGAGGUAGUGACGAAAAAUAACGAUACGGGACUCAUCCGAGGCCCCGUAAUCGGAAUGAGUACACUUUAAAUCCUUUAACGAGUAUCCAUUGGAGGGCAAGUCUGGUGCCAGCAGCCGCGGUAAUUCCAGCUCCAAUAGCGUAUAUUAAAGUUGUUGCGGUUAAAAAGCUCGUAGUUGGACUUGUGUCCCGCGCUGUCGGUUCACCGCCCGUCGGUGUCUAACUGGCAUGGUUCGCGGGACGUCCUGCCGGUGGUGGCGAGUCGAAAGGUUGCCCGUGUUCACGCACGUUGGUUGCCUGGAGGCGGACCCCGAUUAAAUCCUACCGCGGUGCUCUUCAUUGAGUGUCGAGGUGGGCCGGCACGUUUACUUUGAACAAAUUAGAGUGCUUAAAGCAGGCCGGUCGCGCCUGAAUACUGUGUGCAUGGAAUAAUGGAAUAGGACCUCGGUUCUAUUUUGUUGGUUUUCGGAACCCGAGGUAAUGAUUAAUAGGGACAGUCGGGGGCAUUCGUAUUGCGACGUUAGAGGUGAAAU
RNAcentral lists this ribosomal RNA (966 nucleotides) under Nippancistroger sp. KW-2011-1. RNAcentral describes it as "SSU rRNA". It matches the Rfam family "Eukaryotic small subunit ribosomal RNA", at positions 43 to 917 of the family's 1831-position model. Lineage: Eukaryota; Metazoa; Arthropoda; Insecta; Orthoptera; Gryllacrididae. The record is from RNAcentral.